UCUUUAGACUUCUCUGCCAACAGUCUUUUACUGUAUGAGGACAUCACUCAUGCUUCAGAUGUUUUAGGAAAGCGAGGAUCCUGCUUGUUGAAGAAAAAUACCAGUGAAGAAGGGAGGGACAAGCAUGCAGUGACAAGACAGUGCAGGCAGGUUGAUUACAGCAGAGUGAAGCAAUGCCGACUGACACCAAACAGCAUUUUCAUGAAGCAAUCAAGCCCUCAAGCGUGAAGCUUCUCUACAAACGGGACUUUAUCUGGAAUUGUUUAAACUGAACUUCAGGCUUGUAAUUCGGAUAAAUAUACAACAUAAAUGUUAUUUAUUAGAAGCACCUGCAAGGCCUUUGUCACUUUAUAGUUUACAUUUUAUUUUUGUGAGUCAUGUUACUGCAAACAAAUAAAUUCGCAACUGAUCAAAUUAGCACAAAUAAUUCCAUAGGUGUCGACCUGCUUCCCUGACCCGGCUGGUGUCUUUACUGAAUAAAGCAAUGACGCCCUCUACACUCAGCAAAGAUGACUGAGACACAGAUGUUCAUGUUUUCUCUCCACAAGCUUUUCUGAUCAAUAAACAGACAAGACUGCAUGUGCUUGUUGUUUUCAGUGGU
Molecule: long non-coding RNA, 601 nt
Organism: Chelmon rostratus (copperband butterflyfish)
Lineage: Eukaryota; Metazoa; Chordata; Actinopteri; Chaetodontiformes; Chaetodontidae
Exons: 3
Source: RefSeq, a predicted model, not a curated record